UUAAGUUAGACCCAGAUACAAUGAGCAGUGUCAGAGUAUUGGACACUCUCUGCUAUCUCAGGAGUGAGGGAAUUUGUAAGCCAUGAAAUUACCAUAUUGUUACACCUAUCCCACUGUCUAAACUGUGGGGAAUCUUCAGAAGGUUUAGGCACUGAGCCAUCUAUAAAACCUAUUUUGUUCCUAGCGGACAAAGAUACUAUCACAUUUCUUCUCCAACCCCCAAAACCAACCCCUGAGAAAGGAUUGGUAACCAAGGAAAUACCAGGAACAUCAGACGACAUGAGAAAUAGGGGAUUCGAGGGACUAGGGACAAAGCUAGUAGGAACAGAAGGAGAAUCAUCUACUACAUCCACCAUUUUUAACUGCUUAUGUCAUUUAACCACAAACAAACAAUAGAUCGUAACUAUACCAGAUGGCUAACACAUGAAUCGACCAGAAACCAACCAGAAACAAACAAAAAUUACAGCCUCUGAUGUUUACACAACAUGCAACAAUUUUAACAACAAAAAAUACAAGCAAUUUUGACGAAAAACUAACCGAAUCGAAAACCCUAAUUUUGUGAAUCAACAGAAACUUGAAUGAAAGCCGGUGAGGGUAACAUCGGUCGAAAGCUCGUGAUGAGUAGAACCGGAAUAUACCCGCUCUGAUACCAUGUUAACAGUUUAACUCAUCGGAUUGAAGAAAAGAAGUGGAGAAGAUGAUGAACAGUGAGAGGAAAGAGAAGAGAGAAAAAGUGAGAAAUGAAAAAGUU
RNAcentral lists this long non-coding RNA (751 nucleotides) under Nicotiana benthamiana. RNAcentral's name for it is "long non-coding RNA (NBEN_LNC003099)". The record is from RNAcentral. Lineage: Eukaryota; Viridiplantae; Streptophyta; Magnoliopsida; Solanales; Solanaceae.